This 480-nucleotide ribosomal RNA is filed under the name uncultured bacterium. Its description in RNAcentral is "bacterial SSU rRNA". It matches the Rfam family "Bacterial small subunit ribosomal RNA", at positions 28 to 507 of the family's 1533-position model. The record is from RNAcentral.
GAUGAACGCUAGCGGGAGGCUUAACACAUGCAAGUCGAGCGGGAUCCACCUUCGGGUGGUGAGAGCGGCGCACGGGUGCGUAACGCGUAUGCAACCUACCUUGUACAGGGGGAUAGCCCAUGGAAACGUGGAUUAAUACCCCAUAGUAUUGUGAGAUCGCAUGGUUUUACAAUUAAAAUUACGGUGGUACAAGAUGGGCAUGCGUAGGAUUAGCUAGUAGGUGAGGUAACGGCUCACCUAGGCAACGAUCCUUAGGGGUUCUGAGAGGAUUAUCCCCCACCACUGGUACUGAGACACGGACCAGACUCCUACGGGAGGCAGCAGUGAGGAAUAUUGGUCAAUGGGCGCGAGCCUGAACCAGCCAUCCCGCGUGCAGGAUGACGGCCCUAUGGGUUGUAAACUGCUUUUCUAUGCCAAGAAACCUUCCUACGUGUAGGAAGUUGCCGGUAGCAUAGGAAUAAGCAUCGGGCUAACUCCGUG